RNAcentral lists this long non-coding RNA (4355 nucleotides) under Cricetulus griseus (Chinese hamster). RNAcentral describes it as "lncRNA (ENSCGRG00015030724.1)". Lineage: Eukaryota; Metazoa; Chordata; Mammalia; Rodentia; Cricetidae. The record is from RNAcentral.
CAAAGAUUGAGUGCAGCUUAAUUUAAAGCCACUGAUAGACCCAACACAGAUGAAUGUCACAUUUAUUUGAUUCAUAGAAGACAGGCCAGAAACAUAAUACUGUGGUUUCAUCUUAUUUAUACAAUAUUUCAAAGUGUAAGAAGCUAAUUGUUGGUGACAGGAUUUAAAAUACUGGUGGCUAGAGAGAUGGCUCAAUGGUUAAGAGUACUUGCUGCCCUUGUAGAGGACCCAGGGUUCCAUUCCCAGCAACCACAUAGUGACUCACAACAAUCUGCAACUCUGUUCCCAGGGAGGAUCCAGUGCCCCCUGCUGGCCUCCUCAGGCACUGCGUGUCCAUGGUGCACAAGGGUAUAUGUGUAUCUAAAACUCCAGUAGUUGUAUACUUAAAAUUAGGAGGAAAUGUGUGUGUGGUGUAAUAAAAUUUUAAGUGUGGGAAGGAGAACUAAUUAAUUGGCUAUAGGAAAAUGAGUUCACUCUGUGGUCAGUCCAACUCUCUUAGAUAGAAAAAUAGCAGAGAAAACUAUAUACCCUGAUAUGGUUUGAACAUGAAGCAACCCCCGAAGGUUCAUUAGUUAAGAGCUUGGUCCUCAGUCCAAGGCACGAAUGGGAAAUGGUAAAACUUUUAAGAGGAAGAAGUUAGAGUAUUGGAGGCAUUCCCUAGAAGGGAUAUUGGGCUCCUGACCUCUUCUCUUCACUCUUUGCCAAUGGUUCUCAAUCUCUGGGUCACGACCCCACAAGGGCCACAUAACAUAUAUUUACAAUUCAUAACAGUAGCAAAAUUACAGUUAUGAAGUAGCAAUGAAAUUAUUUUAAAAGGAACUGUAUUAAAGGGUUGCAGCAUUAGGAAUGUUGAGAGCUACUGCUCUUUGCUUCCUGGCCACCUUGGCCACACACUACCACUAUGGUACAUUGUGCCAGCAUGGCACAGAGCAACAGGGUAAGGCAACUAUAGACCUGCACCUCUGAAAUCUAGAGGGAAGAUAAUCCCAUUUCCAACUGAUUUUCUCAACUUUGUUGUCAAAGAAAUGGAAAGGUAACACAGCACCCUACCAAAUGUCUGACACCUCUUGACACAAGGAAGGUAUUGACUCAUAUGUAUGAUGUGAGCGAACACAAAUGUGGCCCGUAGUGACACUCAUAUAUCCAUGCGACACAUCCAUCCUGGCAUUAAAGUCUCCUCCUCUAUGUCCAUGCCAACACCAUGUUUCUGUACUUGUCCCUUGAAAGUCUCUUGGAAGCUUCCCCAGAUGUUCCUUUCACCUGGUUCCAACUGAAAAGAUAGAGAUGUGGUAAGUCUUAGGUCUGGUUCUCCAUCCUCAGGGUUUCCCUGAUCUGUCUGCUUCAUGACACAAAACUCAAGGACCACAUGUUUUGUUUAACUGAAUCUUGAAUUGUAAAUUGGCCAUCAGUUAAAAUGGCAAUUAGGAUAAAUAUGUAAAGUAUAAAGUGUCGCUGGGCGGUGGUGGCGCACACCUUUAAUCCCAGCACUUGGGAGGCAGAGGCAGGUGGAUCUCUGUGAGUUCAAGACCAGCCUGGUCUACAAGAGCCAUUUCCAGGACAGGCUCCAAAGCCACAGAGAAACCCUGUCUUGAAAAAACCCAGAAAAAAAAGUAUGAAGUGUCUCCAUAAACAAAUAUGCCAGGGUUACUCAUAUGUAUAUACAGGCUGAGCAUGAUAGUUCAUUAAUACCAUUAUAUAAAAAUUCCAGAGAAUGUAUAGCUUAUAAACUGAAAACAAAGAAUAUUAUUUCUUACCGUUCCAGAGGCUUGGAAGUUCAAGACCACCAUGAGAGCAUAUUUGAUGUUUAUCAUAGAUGGCAUUUUCUGUGUCUUCAUGGAGUAGAGAAGACAAAAAGAAGUUAACUCCCUUCCCCAAGCCUUCUAUAAGAACAGUGAUACCACUUAUGAGGACAGAGUCCUCAAGGCCUGGCCACUCCUGCAAUAGUUUAACACUGUCACACUGGGAAUUAAGAUUCCAUGUAUCCUCAAACACUCCCCUGGGAUUUUACAGAUUGGAAGCCAGGGAGAAAGGUUCUCGGGCUGUUUUCUUUCUGCCACUCCAGAAACCUUGCAUCUAAGGUAUCAGAGUCCAAAACAAGUUGUCUGUUUGGAUGAAGACAAGGGAAAACAGAAACCGCAGAAAUAUGUGUGUGAAGUCCAUGUGGUAGCAGAAUCCUGAGUUAACCCCGAGUGACCCUGGUCUGUGUUUGCUGAUUCCUAUUAUUUGUUGUUGUGGAGAGUAUGGUUGUCUCCCUGACCCCUUUCAUUUGCUGGUCUGAGAUUAUUUAUUCCUUGUGGUUCCUUGGGUAGGUUAACCUCUUCAGGUUGAAAUUUUCCUUCUAGCACCCUUACAGCAUUUAAUACUCAUUCUUUGUUUUGUAUAUUGUAUAUACACUUUAUAGUUUUAUUAUAUGCUGAGAGGAAUUUCUCUUCUGGUUCAAUCUAUUUGGUGUCUUGUAUGCUUCUUCUACCCUGAUAGGCAUCUCCUUCUUUAGGUUAGGGAAAUUUUCUCCUGUGAUCUUAUUGAAAACUAUUUCCUCAGCCUUUGACCUGGGUUUCUUCUCCAUCCUCUAUUCCUAUUAGUUGUAGAUUUGGUCUUUUCUUGGAGUUCCAGAUUUCCUGUAUGUUUUGUUCCUGGAGUUUCUUAGAUUUCCUUUGACCAAGUUACUCAUUUCUUUUAUAGUAUCUUCAGUGUCUGAGAUUCUCUCUCCCAUCUCUUGUAUUCUAUUGGUGAGACUUGCCCCUGAGGUUCCUGUUUGAGUUCCUAAAUCUUUCAUUUCCAGGUUUUCUUCAGUUUUUUUUUUUGUUUUUUUUUUUUGUUUUUUUUUUUUGUUUUUUUUUUUGGUUUGGUUUUGGUUUGGUUUAGUUUUGGUUCUUCAAGUCAAAGUUUUUCUGUUUAGCACUGGCUCUCCUAGAACUCACUCUGUAGACCAGGAUGACCUCCUGCCUCUGCCUGCCAAGUGCUGGGGUUAAAGGUGUGCGCCACCACUUCCCAGCUCAGUUUGGGUUUUCUUUAUUGAUUCUAUUUCCACUUUCAGAUUUUGACCUAUUUUAUAUGUUUUCUUCUAUUGCUUCUUUGUGUUUUCAUAGAUUUCUUUAAGGAAUUUAUGCAUUUCCUCUUUAAGGAACUCCAUCAUAUUCAUAAAGGCUAUAUUAAGGUCCUUAUCUUAAGCCUCAGCUAUGUUGAAUUUCUCAGGGCCUCCUGUAGUAGCUGAUGAGCUGAAGUAGGGACAUAUUGUCCUGGCUGUUGGUAAUUGUGUUUUUACACUGGUGUCUAGGCAUUGGGGUUUGGGAGGAUUGGAAUUCUAGCUGCUGUUACCUGAUCUUGUUGUCAUUGGGUGGGCAUUUUGUUCCUUGGAUUCUAUUGUCCUCUCUGGUUCUUAGGAGGGCAUGGUGACUGUGUGUUACCUGGUAGGCAAUUCUGGGACCCUGCCAGGUGUGACCACUGGAGGGCUCUGGGCUAAAGAUGUUUCUAGAUAUUGGGAGCUGGCACUUAGGAAUGGGGAUGGACAAGAGGUGGGGUGGGGCUCAUGGGGCCCACAGGAAGGAGGGAAGCAGGGUGUUCCACUAAGAUCUGUGUAGCUCCCCAGAACUGGUGGCAGAGAGUGAGGAGAGGCCACAACAGAUGGUCUGCUACAGAGCUGGAAAUGACACUGGAGCCUACCUUCUCCACUGGCCUGUGUGCCCUUGGAAUUGUAGCUUUGUGUGUAUACAUGCAUAUGGAGGGGGCAGUGAUUUCAGGCGUGAGACAGACUGGCCCAUGCGCUCCUCUAAGAAGGGAGGAUUUGCUGCCAGGAUCCUCCCUAGUUAAAGAGAGGACUCUCCUGAGAUCCACAGGCAGGGCCUCUCUUAAGACAACCCCAGUAAUGUACCAGCAGGGGGAAAUCUUGAGCUCUCAGCUCCAGCCUUGAACUAUGCUACACUGGUUUGACUCUGCCUAACUCUUCUCCCAGAUUAUGGGUUGUACAUUAUCUGCACCCUAGUUCCAUCCCAGCCGCUAUGUCCAGAUGCCCCACAUGCCACAUGAAACUGUCUUCUGAAUGGCGAAAUGUCUAAGAGAAGACAGGCUUCUAUGAGAUGGAAGACAAUGGUUUUGGUUAAUGUUAUAAUUAACAUUGGUGUCAGAAGCAACAGUGGCAAAGAACUAUGGCAAUACAUUUCCAGAGUGUGUCUUUGUUUAUCAAGGAAAAAAAAAAAGACACUCAGAAUGGAACUCCUGAAUGGGAAAAGAAAUAGUGAAAGACACAAUUUGAAUGAAAAUAGAAAGUUAUUGAAUGUUUGAAGAAAGUAAUCACCAUUUGUCCUGGUUCCAGAUGCCUGUAAAUUAAGAAGCAAUAAAAGCACUAAAAUUGUGAC